UACAGAGGUGGCAAGCGUUGUUCGGAAUUACUGGGCGUAAAGGGCGCGUAGGCGGCCUUCUAAGUCAGACGUGAAAUCCCCAGGCUUAACUUGGGAACUGCGUCUGAUACUGGGAGGCUUGAGUGCGGGAGAGGGAUGUGGAAUUCCAGGUGUAGCGGUGAAAUGCGUAGAUAUCUGGAGGAACACCGGUGGCGAAGGCGGCAUCCUGGACCGACACUGACGCUGAGGCGCGAAAGCUAGGGGAGCGAACGGG
This 253-nucleotide ribosomal RNA is filed under the name uncultured bacterium. RNAcentral describes it as "partial 16S ribosomal RNA". It matches the Rfam family "Bacterial small subunit ribosomal RNA", at positions 524 to 776 of the family's 1533-position model. The record is from RNAcentral.